This 68-nucleotide transfer RNA is filed under the name Pentanemus quinquarius. Its description in RNAcentral is "tRNA-Ser". Lineage: Eukaryota; Metazoa; Chordata; Actinopteri; Polynemidae. The record is from RNAcentral.
GAGAGAGGCUCGACAGCAACGAAGACUGCUAAUUUUCCCUUCCUCGGUUAGACCCCGAGGCUCACUUG